RNAcentral lists this ribosomal RNA (831 nucleotides) under uncultured Actinomycetes bacterium. Its description in RNAcentral is "bacterial SSU rRNA". It matches the Rfam family "Bacterial small subunit ribosomal RNA", at positions 540 to 1365 of the family's 1533-position model. Lineage: Bacteria; Bacillati; Actinomycetota; Actinomycetes. The record is from RNAcentral.
GUUGUCCGGAUUUAUUGGGCGUAAAGGGCUCGUAGGUGGUUGAUCGCGUCGGAAGUGUAAUCUUGGGGCUUAACCCUGAGCGUGCUUUCGAUACGGGUUGACUUGAGGAAGGUAGGGGAGAAUGGAAUUCCUGGUGGAGCGGUGGAAUGCGCAGAUAUCAGGAGGAACACCAGUGGCGAAGGCGGUUCUCUGGGCCUUUCCUGACGCUGAGGAGCGAAAGCGUGGGGAGCGAACAGGCUUAGAUACCCUGGUAGUCCACGCUGUAAACGGUGGGUACUAGGUGUGGGGUCCAUUCCACGGGUUCCGCGCCGUAGCUAACGCUUUAAGUACCCCGCCUGGGGAGUACGGCCGCGAGGCUAAAACUCAAAGGAAUUGACGGGGCCCCGCACAAGCGGCGGAGCAUGCGGAUUCAUUCGAUGCAACGCGUAGAACCUUACCUGGGUUCGACAUGGAUCGGGAGUGCUCAGAGAUGGGUGUGCCUCUUCUGGGGUCGGUUCACAAGUGGUGCAUGGCUGUCGCUCGAUCGUGUCGUGAGAUGUUGGGUUAAGUCCCGCACACGAGCGCAACCCUUGUUCACUGUUGCCAGCACGUUAUGGUGGGGACUCAGUGGAGACCGCCGGGGUCAACUCGGAGGAAGGUGGGGAUGACGUCAAGUCAUCAUGCCCCUUAUGUCCAGGGCUUCACGCAUGCUACAAUGGCUGGUACAGAGAGUGGCGAGCCUGUGAGGGUGAGCGAAUCUCGGAAAGCCGGUCUCAGUUCGGAUUGGGGUCUGCAACUCGACCUCAUGAAGUCGGAGUCGCUAGUAAUCGCAGAUCAGCAACGCUGCGGUGA